This 73-nucleotide transfer RNA is filed under the name Allomicrovenator marinus. RNAcentral's name for it is "Microvenator marinus tRNA". It matches the Rfam family "tRNA". Rfam says of the family: Transfer RNA (tRNA) molecules are approximately 80 nucleotides in length. Their secondary structure includes four short double-helical elements and three loops (D, anti-codon, and T loops). The record is from Rfam by way of RNAcentral. Lineage: Bacteria; Deltaproteobacteria; Bradymonadales; Allomicrovenatoraceae.
GGCCCGUUCGUCUAGCGGUUCAGGACGCCGCCCUCUCACGGCGGUAACACGGGUUCGAAUCCCGUACGGGCUA